Molecule: non-coding RNA, 10547 nt
Organism: Equus caballus (horse)
Lineage: Eukaryota; Metazoa; Chordata; Mammalia; Perissodactyla; Equidae
Source: RefSeq, a predicted model, not a curated record
UGCAGUUCUGAAACAGCUGACAUUUAAACCUCCAAGAAUGUGUGAAACUGAUUCUGAACACUACUGAGUACUUAUUACACGCUGUGUCAGGCACAGGACUAACAGUGGCUACCAUUUUCUGAACAUUUGCUCUGUGCAAGGCUCUCUUCUAAGCACUUUGCAAGUAAGAAUUUAAUGCACCCAUUUUAUGCAGGAAGUACUAUUAUCCUCAUUUUACAGUUGAGAAAAGUGCUGCACAGAGUUGCAACAACUUGCCCAAUGCAAAGAUGUUUAACAUACCGUCUCUACCCUCAGUCCAGUGUACGGGUAAGUAAAACAAUGCAGUCAGUAAAUGCUGCUAUGUGAUACUACAAAGUUCUGAAGGUGCUCAGAGAGGACCAGUCCUGGAAGGAAAGGUGUGACACUGUCUGGGAGCCUGAAAGGUAGAGGCCAGCGCGAUUGGGCAAGAGGGGAACCUGCAUGUGCAAAGCAACAGGACGACCGACUGCGGAUCGAACCCAAAGGUCUGGGUCAGACCCGAGCCCAUGCCAAUUACAGCUGGGCGACUGCCGAGGAGGCCCGCGCCUCUCGCAGAUUCCCGCGAGGGCGGCAGUGGGGCGGGGCCGGGGCCGAGGCUCAGCGUCCGCUCGAGCUCUGGCCACAAAGAACCCCCUCGCCUUGGCGCACGUGACCGGCAAGCGGCAAACUGCGCUCCCGAUAGGCUGAAAUGCUAAGGCACCGUCUCGGAAGGGAGAGCGAUGAUUGGUGGAAGCGAUAAACGCGUCAGGGGACUAUCGGGAUUGGCUGCCGCCUCCUUUGCUGUAGGGGGGCCGGGCAGGGACUCCUCACCUAGAGAAAUUUUCAGGUAAAAAUGAGUGAGUCAUCUCUCCCCGCUGUUGACUCUUGUGGAGACUUCCCGUCACGUGUGUGUCACUUUACAUAUUUGGAAACGAGACGCCCUUUAAGAGAAUUAUCCAGUCAUCCUCUGCGGCGAGCACCACGCCGUCAGCGAAGUUUCUGAUUGGCUGCUGUGGGGUGGGGCGGGCCUAGAGAGGAGCCCGCGCAGCGUGGGGAGGAGCCCGGCUUCCCCGUCGUUCUCUCUAGCCCAGGCCGGACGGCGCCCCCAGGUGGUCUGCAGGGGUAACGCCUGGCGCUCUUGCCCCGCGGAGUGCGUCCGCUCUUGGCUUAAGUGGCUCCUGGAUCGGAAACUUUUUAACUAGAAAGAGAAAGACCUAGAUUCGAAUAGGAAUCUGCCAUGCCGGAUCAGAGCGCAGGCUCUCAGGGCGGACUGCCUGUGGAAGCUCAGAGCCCAACUGAAUGUGAAUUGAAACCACUCUCCUCGUCCCCGGGUUUCUGGGUACAUGUCCAAAAUGGGUUGGAGGAGUUGGCAGGGGGACUUUUCUCACUGAAGUUUCUCAGAGAUCCAAGCGGAUGAAGAUUCCAUCUUCUUGUGGUGCUACCCUCGCCAUGUGCAACCACCAUGUACUUCCAUGGUUACUGCAUUGGAAGAGGAGAGCCCUGGAGAGUUAAACACUGGCAAUUAGGGAGAGAAUAAAAGAGGAGGAAAGCCAAAAGUAAGAAGUUAUUUUCAGGAAAGGAUAUAUUCCUGGUUUCCAUUCUUGUCACUUGGGUUUUCUUUUCUUCUGAGAAACCAGUAUUCACUUUGCUCUGAAAGGUCAUAUAAAUGAAUUCAGGCACCAAACUGGAUAAAAAUGUUUAGAAUAUUUCUGGAUCAAAUCGCGGAUAUGGAGGUAGAUGAUGCUAAUGAAUAUUGGGAUGCCAGAAUAAGCAGGUGCUGCUCUUGUUGAUGUUACAAGCCAAAUACCCAAGGGAGUCGAUGGAUGCCUUAAAAUUCAAACCAGUACCUUCUUUGGGAUGUCAGAUCUGGAGAAAUUUUUGUCAAGACAGCACAUUUCAACUUGGAUUAGAUACAUUUUAAGCGCUCAAUAGUCACAUGUGGCUGGCGGCUACUACAUUGGACAGUGGUGCUCCAGCAGGUGGCAGUGUGAGCACAUGGCAAGGCCAACGGAGGGCACACGUUCCUGAGGACCAGGACCUGGGAGCUGAUUCUGCACAUCUCUGAAGGUCUCUGAACACAGUCUUCUGUUCUUCAGGUAUCAGAAGCUUCGGUAUCAACAGAAAACCAGGCUGAAGACCUCUCAAGAGUGAGGUGGGAUAUAAGUGCCAAUAUUACUUUACUUAAAUACUCAAUUUGACCACUUAAUGAUUGCAAAUAUUUUUAGUAUAUUCUAGUACAUUUAAACUUUGUUUGCAUUUGGUUAUCAUGUUAUCUAAGGCAGGGAUCUUAAGGUUUUUAUCUGCAGGUUUAGGAGUGCUUUGCCUUUACGAGUUAAUCUUUCUGCUAGAUGUGGGAGUGGAGGCAAUAUGACUUGCUAUGCUGGGAACACACAGAAGAACAGCACUGAUGUCAAGAAGCUCACAUUCUUGUAGGGAGAGAUUGGCACGUAAACAAACUACUACAAAGCAGUGUACCAUACAGAUGGGUGCAGGAGGAGGCCAGCGGGCCCUCGCUGAAGUGUGGUGGAGGGAGGAGGGCCUGCAGGAAACCUGCGCAGAGACAUCUGCUGGACAGACAUUUGUGCGGAGCUCUGGGCCUCCUGCCUGAAGCUAAGGCCCUGUCCUCACAGAAUUUGCAAUCUAGAGGGAAAGAAGGUCCUUAAGUUAAAAAUAUACAAAUAUGUAAACGCACAAAGAAAUAAUAGCAGAUAAUAAUUCGCAUUGUGAAGGAAAAGAGCAGGGUAUAAUGAGAAUGCAACAGAGGUAGAGAAAGCGCUCCCAGAGGGAGUGGCCCUGGAGCUGAGCAGGGAAGACAGCAUUCUCGAAGCAGAGGCUGGUGUGCAUGGAGGGGAGGAAAAGGCUCCGGGUUUGAGAAACUGCAGACUGGCCAGUGUGGCUGGAGCACAGCGAGCAAGUGGGAGAAGGUGAGGGAGCUGAUCGGCAGGGCCUUGCAGGCCACGAUCAGGAGAUGGAUUUCACUCAAGGGUGAUGGGAGGGGAGCCACUGAAGGUUUUAGGAAAGCGGGUGUCAUGAUGGGAUUACUGUGUAGAAAGCAGCCUGGCUGCUUUUUGGAGGAUGGAUUGGAGAGAGGCAAACAGGGAAGUGGAGAGAGCAGUCAGGGGGAUUCUGUCCUGUGGGACAUGGGGGUGACUGGAGUGUGGCUUCUCAAAGGGACUUGAACGAGCAUACACGGUUUGAUUGGAAGACAACCAUGGGCACAGAAUGUCCAAAAUCAGGAGGCAGGAGGAAGCAUGGCAUGGCAGGGGAACUGGCUCUGCAAGGAGCAGAGAGGGAAGGUCCUGGGAGAAGUGCUAGGAGCGCGAGAGGGAGAUAGUGGACAUGAGGUGCUCACAGUGUAUGCCAAAAGCAUAGCAUUUCUCCCAGAGAGUGGAGCUAGUAAGUGUUUAAAGCAGAUCCUUAACAGAUCAAUUUUGCAUAAGGAGCUUUCCGGGGAUGCUAUAAGGAGGCUCAGGAGGAGGAGAGAUUCCAGUUCUGUGGUUAUUGAAAGAGUCCAAGGACUUGAAGGAAUGGAAUUUCCCGAAUAGUUGUCAACUAUAAGUAGUGAUAACUACCACUUAUCAAAUGGUAUGAUAUGAUAUGGCCAAUGCUAGCCACCGUACCAGGUCCUUGACAUCUGUCAUUUCUAAUCUUUGUCACUGGAUCCCCCCCACACCUCCUCAAGGGGAUUGCAGCUGGUAAGAGCACAGGGGAGCAGGAUGCUUUCAACAGCAACACCCUGCCUGCAGCCACGAAGUCUCUCAGUGCUCUGCAGGGUAGUGUUCUGUUGCUAGAAGGAAAUCGCAGUUCUUUGAUGAAGUAGCUUUUCCCAAGGUGAUAGGGCUGAACACAUGGCAGAAGUGGGAUUUGAAACCCUAGUCUCUAAUUCCAAAGACCAUGUUCUUUCCAUUAUCUCAAAUAUUUCUUCAUAGCUCUAGUAAAAUGUAUGGUGGUGCAAUGUAGUUUUUUAUAUGACUAUUUUCCUUUUCCUACUAGAAUGUGAGCUUAUCGAAGACAAGGACUGUCUAUUAUCCAUUGCUGCACCUUUAGUGUCAAGCACAGUGACUGGCACAGAGUGGAUAUACGUUUGUUGACUAAAAGAACCUACAGAAUGGGAUAGCACUUCUUCUAUUAAGAAUCUGAAGUCCUCUUUCAUUCCGUUGCACUUGAGUGCCCUGUCUUUUCCUAAGAAAAGCAGCACAAGGGGAGAGCUACUGGCCCAUGUCUCCAACUUUGUAGCAGAGUCGUCGACCCUGAUGGCUGCAGGGAAUACACCCAGAGGAGGAAGCCCAUGCUCCAUGCUGAGCUGCCUCCAGACUUCCUGCUCACACUUACGCCCAACUUCCCCAAGCCCGUGUGCCCUCAGAUCGAGGUCCUUCACUCUGAAAGCAUCUGUAGGUCUGACAAGUGGAGAAUCAGAGAGUACAGGUUUAUUGAAAGGCUAUAGAUUACAGGCACCUAAUGGGAUCUGACAAUUAUGCACACACAUUACUGCAGAGAAGCGGGGUUGCUGGAAGGAGAUGGUGGUUGUGUAGUCAAUUAAAAUGCAUACUGCAUAGCACCAACAUUUCCCCACAGUGCUAGCUAACAGUAGGUUUUAAUUAUACGGUAAUAAAAAAACGGAGAAACAGCAGUAAAUUACAAUCUGUUUCUGUGAAUAGUCUUAGUCCAAUAGCUAAAAUCUACAAAUUACAUAAAACAAGUAUUUCAAAUUAAAUCACAGAGUGUUUGUAGAGCACCGGUUGUAUAUAAGGUAUUGACAUUUUUUAUUGCCACCUUGCUGUUUAUGGUUAGGUGGUCACUGAGUUGGGGAUGGAGUGGAGGACCCUAGGCUGGGGCUGAAAUGGAAGUGGCACAUGUAGGAGGGACUGGGGGGUGAGAAACUCCAAGCCUUGGGGCAAUGGAAAGGAGUAUGAGUGAUUUUCAGGGCCAGCAGAGGGUUUUCCUUGGCUUCUUGCAGCUUCUGGGAUCAGGCAAGGAAGGGGAGCUCUGCCCUGUGGGCCAGGUGGGGAGAGGAGAGGGUGGCAGCCAUGCCUGAGACAGAGGACCGCAGUUUGUUGACUUGCUCAGAGCAUACCUGUUGGUACUGAGGGGUCCAGUCUGCAAGGAGGUAUGGCUGUCUCAAGCAUCCCAUUUCCCUGUGCUUUUAGUUCCAAGCCCCCCUUUGAGGUGCUAUGGUGGUAAAUUCAGGUUUUAUGGAGCCUGAAGCUUGUAGAAUUUUGAGAGCCCUCAUAAAGAAAAGAGGAAAAAAAUCUUCUUUUUGCAAAUUUUAUGAAAAUAUAUGACCGUGUGAACACCUUGCUAGGGCUUAAGUUUAAUUAACUUCACAUAAAUCUGCCUUUAUCUAUGAUCCUUGGGGUCUACACACUUGCAAGAUGUGUAGUGACUUGAAGAUUUUUAUGAACCUCAUGCAGCCAACAAACCCCAUGGCAGACAGGUAAAGCAGCAUCUCUAGCCUGCUGCUCACUAAGUUGUACACAUUUGCUCAAGAUUUAUGUAAACUAACAGCCAUUUAUUGAGUGUUUACUUUGUGCUAUCACUGUUAGCACUGCUAGUGCUUUGUUGCUUUAUGCUCUAGCACAGCAUGGCAUAAUUUCUUAUGUUUUCCCUCCCCAAAAUAAUGAUAACAUAGCCAGGCACUUUGGAUGACAGAGAGUGAGAUGGAAGAACACUUUCUUAAGGGCCUAUGAAUUUGCCGUUGCAAACUUUGCCAUUCGUGGGCGGGCGGGGGAGUGGGGGGUGCUGUUAUCUUUUCUUUAUGAGAUCUUGGUGUCCUGUGACAGUGUCCAUGGUGGCACCAGAAUGUUCCUGGCUUUCUUGGAUAUCCUGGCACCUGGGUCUCCCCCCACAACUGGUAUCAGUGGCUACAAACACCAAAGAUUACAUAGAUCCUUCUCCCUAACUAGGGCAGCUCAUAAGAAUCAUCUGAGGCCCUUGAUAAAGAUGCAGAUUUCUGGAGACUUCCUGACUUCCUACCAUAGACUUCCUGAAACAGAAGCUCCAGAGAUGGGGCAUGUGAAUUUGUAUUUUUAAGUGCUUCUUAAAGUACUUAAGGUGUUUCUUAAAAUCAGGUAACCUUGAGCAUCACUGAACCCAAGGACAGGUGAAACACAUUCUAAGGUAAUAAGUGGGUUUUCUCUGGGUGAACAAAUAGAUAGGAAAGUAGAGGGGGCAUAAUAUUUCUGAUGAUGUGUGGUUGGAAGAAAAUUUUAAAAAGUAACAUAGUUGUGCAUUUAUUGUGUGCCAGUAACUGUGCUAAGCAUUGUAUGAAUCUUUUAUUUAAAGUUCCCCACAAAUGUUUGAGGCAGAACCAUUUGCCUCCCUUUUACAGAUGGGAACACAGGUUCAGAGAUGUUAAGUAAUUUGCCCAAGUCAUGUAGCUAGUAAAGGAUGGAGUCCAGAUUUGAACCCUGGCAGCAGGUGUUGGAGCUCGUACUCUUUCUGCUGUUAUACAGACCGAAAUAUAUAUUGCCUAAUCCUAGAGAAACUACAGUGCCCAAUAUUGGGGUUAGGAGGAGAGCCCAGAAUACUCCCCCAACUGCAAUGAAAGCCACCCCCUAAAGGUAGUGCUGGUGCACUUCAACAUCCAGGACACUGGGGCUGCUAUAGUGGUCAAAGGCAGUGACAUGGAGGCUCAUUUGGCUGUGCCUUGGGUGUGGGACACUGGGGUUCCCUGAGCAGUCAGCCGCACUGAUGCCUGUGGCCACAUAGGAGGCAGUGGCCCUGGCUGAGAGAGGCACCUGUGGGCAGUGACAAGGAUGACGAUGUGUUCAGACCCAUUUGGUGGGAAGGGUGGUUAAUGGUGUGGUACAGUGCCUAAGAGUGUGGGAUUGAGAGUCAGACAGCCUAGGGCUGAUCCAGCUACUGACUUGAUCCCUUGUUCAUAGAGUGACCAUGUUUGUUUUCUAUGGAUGCCAUAACAGAUUACUAUAAACUUUUAGCAAUCUAGAAUAACACCCGUUUACUAUUUCACAGCCCUGUGGGUCAAAGUUUAGGUAAACUGUGGCUCAGUAGCAUCCUCUACUCAGGGCCUCCCAAGACUGAAAUCAAGAUGUUGGCUGGAAUGGGCUCUUCCAGGCUCUGGGGAAGAUUACACUUCCAAGCUUAUUCAGGAUGUUGGCUGAAUUCAGUUCCUUGCCAUUGUAGGACUGAGGUCCUUAUUUACUUAACCUGUGACUCCCUUCAUUUUCAGAUAAAAAAAGGCCUAUCAAAUCCUUCUCAUUCUUUGAAUCUUGACUUCUUCUUCUGCAAACAGCCAGAGAAAAAUUUGUGCUUUGAAGGGCUCAUUUGAUUACCUUAGGCUCACUGGAUGCUCCAGGAUAAUCUCCCUAGUUUAAGGUCAAGUGAUUAGUAACCUUAAGUAUAUCUAUCAUGUAAUUAUGUAACAAUGCAGAUAACACUUUCACAGGAGUAACACCAGGAAGCAGAGGUCAUGGGGCCAAAAUUCUGCCUACCACAGUGACCUUGGGCAAGAUCUCUUGGAUUUAGUGGCCUAAAAAACACCAAUUUUGUAGAUGGGUGAUAUUUACAGAAACCAAGAUUUUUUUAUCUUGCUCUUCUAGAAGGAGUUACAUAUUAGUCUGAAAUUCUGUGUUCCAUUCAAAGGCAGCAUAUAUUUUCCAAAUGAUGACUUGAAAGCUAAGAAUGAGCUAAAAUAAUUUCUUUUGGAAAGUUGCUAAAAUAAUUUAUAGAAGCAGCAUGCAUCAUUUAUCCUUCCCAUCCUCCACCCACCCUCCCACCUCCUCACUCACCAUGUUGAUUUGAACAUUUUCUAAAAUCCUUUUCAUUAAAUUCUGGAGUAUAAAGCUAAUGGACACCAUUAAGGUAGUGAUAAUGCCAGACUGCACUUUGGUGGCUUUUUUUUUUUUUCCCCAGAAAAAGCAUACCUCCAAGCAAUGCCAAUUAUAAAGAGUAUUUGAACCACUGUCUAAUUUGAAGAAAAUGAAUACCUUGAGAAAUAACAUGGAUACCUUAUAAUUUUUCAGUCAAAAACUGUCAAACAGAAGUUUUCACAUACUGCAAUUUUUUCGUAGUAAUUCACUCAAAAGUAUUUCUUUUAUUUCUUUUCCAUUGUGCCCUUUGCAAAAGCUUGUUGAGAUUCACUCUCUCCUGUGAGUUAUUGGAAGUGGAUGUGGUCUUUCAUUCUGCAUACUCUCCAAAGAACAUUUUGGCAUUGAACAAUGAAAAUGAAGAUGGAAAAAUGAGAAACUAAAUGUAGUUCCAUUUUCUAAGAUUCAAAUGAACCAUAUUUUAAGGUUGGCAGCCUUCAUAUGCAUGCUACUUCUUGGUAGCACAAAGAGAACAAACAAGAACCUUAAUUUUUUCUGAGUACAAAACAAUGGAAGAAAAUCUAUUUUCAAUUAGCUCGGACACAUAUGAAUGAUGAGAGCAAUGCAGGCUGUGUAUUUUAUUUGCAUUGUUUUUCCAGUUGCACAAGGAUAAUGACCUUGAAUUCAGUAUAAUGGAUGAGAGUUUCAAUCAACUUUUAUAUGGAUAAUCGAAUAAUUUGAAAAUUUAGCCAAACAAGAUAAUCCAUAGUAUGCUACCCAGGACCGUGUGGUCUGACAGUUUUGUGCAACCCAGUAAAGGGCAAGUAGAUAGUGGUAACAGACCUAUGUUCUGGUGUCACUUCUGCACAGUGAUCCCACUUGCACUGAGUGUUUUAUUUUUAUGUGAAUUGAAGUUAUUCAUAUUUCUAUGUGCUCAUUUUAGAAAAAUUAGAAAAUAUAGAUAAGCAAAAAAGAAGGAAAAAAUAAUUCCACCUCACAGAUGGCCUCUUUUCCUCAUGAUAUAUAUGUAUCAUACAUAUAUAUGUCUUUCUAGAUGUUUAAAAAUGCAUAUGUAGAUAAAUUAAGCUAUACACUAUGUCAUAUACAUACGUUGUGUCUCCAGCUAGUAGCUGCUGUCUCUUGUGGCAAUGUUUACUAUGGUUGCUGAUUAUAAUCACAAUUCCAGAAAUUCUUGGUGUGACCAUUUGAGUCAGGAGCUCCAGGGAUCUUUGUGGUCAUCUAGCAUUUCAGCAUUUUCCAGAAGGCUAACAGUGCAGUGAAUGGGUCAGAGGCUAAAAGAGAGCUAAACUCUAAUUACAGGUUCAUGAUAGUAUUUUUGGAUUUCCCCAUUCAGAGCUCUAGGGAUCUGUCUUUUGCUACAACUUGAUUCCAUGGGGCUUUCAAAAGUACCUCCAUUUAAUUCUUAAAUCCUUGGAGGCUGAUGAGCAUCAUUGAUGGAAAAACAGACAGAUAUUUGUUAAGUCACUUUAAAACUUUGGCCAAAACCAGACUUGACCCCCUUAAUUCCAGGUCCACAGUAUCUCCUGUUACUUUGCUCCACCUUACUGCCCCAGGAAAGGGGACACUGUCCAAAUGUUUGCAUGCUUUAUGAAACCAAGGAAACCUACUCUGAAGUGAAUAAAACUCCAAUGAUUGCAUCCUAGCAUUUCUCCCAGAAAAUGUUUACCUUUCUUGAAUAGUGCCCAACCAUAUUUUGAAAGCAAAUCUUACAAAAAAAUCCUGUACAACUCAAACAUAAAAAUAUCUUCAGCAAAUCUCUUUAAAUAUUUAUAUUUUAAAGAGAAUGAAUGUAUGAGUUAUAAACAAAAAGUAUUUCACACAAGAAAUACAAUAGUGCUUAAACUGUUAAAUGAGGGGAGUGUUGCCCUUUGAAGGGGUUGCUAUGAAAGGAUUUGUUCUUGUUGCUAUGAGGCUGUUGUUUUAUCAACUAAUUUUGAAACUCAUCAUCGCUUCAGGAUUAGUUUAUAAGGUACACAGGAAAAUACCCCCAUUACCUCACAGUCUCUCUCCCUGGUAUUUGAGCAAACCCAAAUAUAUUAUCCAACUUGAACACCGAUUUCAAUGGGCUCCAAAUAAUGGUUGUAUCCUAAAAACAAAACAAAAUAAGAACAACUCUUCCAUGAUGGUGAUUUGCUACCACAGAGGCUGUUCAAAGCAUUGUGUACCAGGCCCUGAAGAUAAUUCUGAAAGAGAAGCUCCAAAAAGGGUCUGAGCAAAUGCAGCACUGCUCAUGAGGGUAGUGAAGAUACGUUCCAAGCUGACUACUUUGAAGGAGAGAAAAAAAUCAUUCAAAUGUUGAGUUCUGGCAUGUUGCUCAAACAAGGAAUUUCUGUUUACCUUGUGUGUUGAUCUAGUCUAUAAGAUUUCUGUAUUAUUCAUAAUAGUCAUCAUCUUUUUCACCUGCUAAAUCAACAAUGAGAAUUUCUUUGCCACUAGAAAAUAUGUAUGAGGAGCAACUCUUUUGAAAAGAUCAUAAGGGUUGCAUAAUUGAAUAACAGGGUUGUAUUGGAGCAAUAAAAUUUCUGCUGUUUAGUUAAAUAAUCUGCUUUUUCUGUGUAAACAUUAAAAGCUUAUAAAUGACGUACAUGUAGAGAGCCAAAAGUCAAUCUAUCUUUAAUCUUUCUAGUCACUGUUAAUAGUCCUGCAGUCCCAUAAGAGAAGGGAAAGAUACAAAGGCAUGCAGAAAUAGAGUGGAGAGGUAUAUAAUAUGUAAUGGUGUAUAUAUAUAAAUAUAUAAUAUAAAUGUGUAAUAAUAUAAUAAAA